RNAcentral lists this ribosomal RNA (520 nucleotides) under uncultured bacterium. RNAcentral's name for it is "bacterial SSU rRNA". It matches the Rfam family "Archaeal small subunit ribosomal RNA", at positions 345 to 866 of the family's 1478-position model. The record is from RNAcentral.
AACCUCCACAAUGUACGAGAGUGCGAUGGGGGGAUCCCAAGUGCUAUUCUUAACGGGAUAGCUUUUCUUAAGUGUAAAAAGCUUUUGGAAUAAGAGCUGGGCAAGACCGGUGCCAGCCGCCGCGGCAACACCGGCAGCUCUAGUGGUAGCUGUUUUUAUUGGGCCUAAAGCGUUCGUAGCCGGUUUGAUAAGCCUCUGGUGAAAUCCUGUAGCUUAACUGUGGGAAUUGCUGGUGAUACUGUUGAACUUGAGGUCGGGAGAGGUUAGCGGUACUCCCAGGGUAGAGGUGAAAUUCUGUAAUCCUGGGAGGACCACCUGUGGCGAAGGCGGCUAACUGGAACGAACCUGACGGUGAGGGACGAGAGCUAGGGGCGCGAACCGGAUUAGAUACCCGGGUAGUCCUAGCCGUAAACGAUGCGGACUUGGUGUUGGGGUGGCUUUGAGCUGUUUCGGUGCCGUAGGGAAGCUGUUAAGUCCGCCGCCUGGGAAGUACGGUCGCAAGACUGAAACUUAAGGAAUU